This 73-nucleotide transfer RNA is filed under the name Colacium mucronatum. RNAcentral's name for it is "tRNA-Val". It matches the Rfam family "tRNA". Rfam says of the family: Transfer RNA (tRNA) molecules are approximately 80 nucleotides in length. Their secondary structure includes four short double-helical elements and three loops (D, anti-codon, and T loops). Further hydrogen bonds mediate the characteristic L-shaped molecular structure. tRNAs have two regions of fundamental functional importance: the anti-codon, which is responsible for specific mRNA codon recognition, and the 3' end, to which the tRNAs corresponding amino acid is attached (by aminoacyl-tRNA synthetases). tRNAs cope with the degeneracy of the genetic code in two manners: having more than one tRNA (with a specific anti-codon) for a particular amino acid; and 'wobble' base-pairing, i.e. permitting non-standard base-pairing at the 3rd anti-codon position. The record is from RNAcentral. Lineage: Eukaryota; Euglenozoa; Euglenophyceae; Euglenales; Euglenaceae.
GGGGGUAUAGCUCAGCUGGUAGAGCGUCUGCCUUACAAGCAGAAUGUCGGCGGUUCGAAUCCGUCUGUCCCCA